Molecule: long non-coding RNA, 461 nt
Organism: Aquila chrysaetos chrysaetos
Lineage: Eukaryota; Metazoa; Chordata; Aves; Accipitriformes; Accipitridae
Exons: 4
Source: RefSeq, a predicted model, not a curated record
AUGAUGCUUUUGCCACAGAUGCCUCCUCCGGUCACUAGACCUCUGCUUCUGAAUAGGGAUCUGCUGCUGGAGGAGUAGCUGCCACCAAAGCAUGGGGAUACCUCCAGCCUGGUGAGUUUGCACUUUGCAUCCUUGACAACCACUUCCCUGUGCUCCUCAGCUUCAGCCAUGGCUCCUUCCAGUUUGCAUCUCUGCAGGACUCAGCCUCUGCCCGGCUCCGGUUAGCGAUGUCUUCGUACUGCGCUCUGACCUCUGCAAUGAUGCUGUUCAGGUCCAGGUUGCGGUUGUUGUCCAUGGAUAGGACCACAGAGGUGUCGGAGAUCUGUGACUGCAUCUGAGACAGCUCCUAUUGUGAAGGCUCCUGCUGCCAAAACCACCGCUGAUUCGUCCCAUGCCUCCACCACUGCUACGGGACACGGACAUGGAGCUGAAGCUGCUUCGGUUAACAGGCAUAGCGGCAG